RNAcentral lists this long non-coding RNA (631 nucleotides) under Brachypodium distachyon (stiff brome). RNAcentral describes it as "long non-coding RNA (BDIS_LNC000761)". Lineage: Eukaryota; Viridiplantae; Streptophyta; Magnoliopsida; Poales; Poaceae. The record is from RNAcentral.
AGGCUUUAAAAGAUUUUGUUUACACCCAUAUGAGCUUUGGAUUUUCAAACCAAUUGGGUUUAUGCAUAAAAGGGGUUUAAUGCAUACAUAAGCUAUCCCAUAAUUUUGGGAUAAUUAUGUGGAGUUGAAAACGUAUUUUAUUUAAAUAUAUAUAUGGCCCUAAAGGCAUUUAUAGGGAAAAUGUAUUUUUAUAUAUUUUAUUUUGAAGAGAAACUACUUCCAAAAGUUGUAUCAUGGUAAAACAUGAUUUUUCAAAUUUUCUGGAAUUUAUUUGGACCAAUUUGGAGUUCAAAAUCAAAAGUUAUCAAAGAAAUGAGAAAAACAUAAAAAGAAAAGGCUAAAAGAAAAAAAAAGGGAGAAACGGACCGGCCCGACCACUUUGGGCCGAACCGGCCCAUUCCUCAGGCACGCGCGCGCGCCGCCCCGCUCAGCAGCGCCCCGCGCCGCGCCUGCACCCGCUGACAGGGGCUUCUUCCUCGUUUGGAAGGCGGCCGCGCCCGCUGCGCCGCCUGCCAUGUACGCCGCGACGCGCAAUCUCUGCCGCCCCGUCUGCUCCGACCUUCCCGAAGCUCCGAGCCCGCGUCCCUACAAAGCUCUCCCCCUCCUCUUCUCUUUCCCCGUUCUCGCCCCC